AAAAUGGCCGAUGGUUUCUCUAGAUAAGACUCUUAUUCCUCGUCUGGGAUCAUGUAGAGCUCUUUGAAGCUGCACUGAAACUGACAUUUGGACCUUCAACCCGUUGAACCCCAGUGAAGUCCACUAUAUGGAGAAAAAUCCUGGAAUGUUUUCCUCAAAAACCUUCAUUUCUUUUCCACUGAAGAAAGAAAGACAUGAACAUCUUGGAUGGCAUGGGGAAACAGACACACAGGCAGAAAGACGGACAGUCUCUGAAGACUAAUUCUGGUGUCGUCAGUCACUGACAGCAACAGAUGACAGACAGACAGGUUUACCGUAGUCAACCGGAUCCGGGCCGUAUCCAGGUAAGAUCGAGGACCUGCGCCUUGACACGACCACAACGCACCCCUGAAGUGUCAGCAGAGGCCUCAUCGACAGCCAGUGGCACAGAUUCUCAACAAACCGUCCAUACCGGCGUGAUCCUCAAUACAAUCCUCAAUUGGAUGGAACUGGAAUAAAUACUUUGACUGUUGCAAUCCCAUCGGACUUAUGAUAGCUACCUGAAUCAUAAUCAAGCAUUGUUUGCUGUUGGCCAGAGGAGAACUGGCCCCCCGACUAAGUCUGGUUUCUCUCAAGGUUUUUUUUUUCUCCAUUUUAACACCUGUUUGCCACCUGAUGUCACCUGCUGGAGUUUGGGUUCCUUGCCGCCUUUGGCUUGCUUAGUUGGGGACACUUGACACUUGAUAUUCAACAGUGUUUUGAUCUCCUGCAUUGACACCACUGUAUGAGAACUGAACUGAGCUGGAUGAUGACAUCACUGUUUACUCCAGUGCUGAUAUAGAUAAAUUAACUAAAUUAAUAACUAUUGAUUCUUACAUUGGAAUGAAUCAAUACUGAAUUUACUUAAGCUGGACAAUGACGGCAUUUUCUUUAAGAGCUGUGCAGCCAAAAUUAUAUACUAGUUAUCACUGUAAAGCUGCUUUGACACAAUCUGCAUUGUUAAAAGCACUGUAUAAAUAAAGGUGACUUGACUCUCUGUUUAUCCUGAAGUUAUUGUAGUCAGCUGGAUCUGGGCCAUAUCCAGAUCAGAUGAAGAACCUGCGCCUACUUUAAUUUGAAGUUAAUUACAUUUUUUAUUUAAUUACACUCUAGAAUAGAAUAGAAUAGAAUAGAAUAAAAUAGAAAAGGUGGGACAGUGAUUUUAAUGGCCCAUAAUGCACUGAGAGAAUACUUCUGUCUAUUCUGCUGCGGCAGGAAAUUAUUUCAUGACUAUCAAAAUUCAAUAUUAAAAUUCAACAAAGACGGAAUGAGUGCACUGAGAUGAUGUCAGAAGAUCACAGACUUGAGGGGAAUCUUCACACCAGACAGGAAGAAAACACCUAGAAACCACCCAGAAUACCCUACCAAACACAUAGCAACACCCUAGCAACCAUCCUCAAUGCCCUGGCGUCACUUUUCUUCAGAACAGGUAAAGGUGGAGUAUGUCAGCAUCACCAUGGUGACGAGCAGGUGCAGUUCAGCGUCUCACUAAUGAGAUCAUUGAUCAGGUGAUCAGUGAGUGACCUGCGGACUGAAGCAGCUGGACUGGAGGCGACGGAGACACUUAACAGAUGAAAUAAAGAGACACCAGGAGACGCUCAGUAAAGAUCCGUCAGGACGAGACUCUGAUCUCCAGUGACAGAGCGUUUAAGAGGAAGAGGGAAACGCUUCUGGAGGGACGCUGUCUGUCAAUUCAUGUCACUUCAGGUCACGUGCUUCGCCUUGAGCAGACACACAUUACUGACACACACACACACACACACACACACACACAGAAGAGCUUCAGAAAAACAUAUUUAAAUACAUCAGGACUGAUUUUAAGCAAUAUGACAAGCAUUUAAAGCAAAUAUUGCUUCAAAGGGACAGUUCAUCCAAAAAUGAUCAUUCUGUCAUUUAUUGUCCUCAUAUAACACAAACCUG
Molecule: long non-coding RNA, 1938 nt
Organism: Ctenopharyngodon idella (grass carp)
Lineage: Eukaryota; Metazoa; Chordata; Actinopteri; Cypriniformes; Xenocyprididae
Exons: 3
Source: RefSeq, a predicted model, not a curated record